GACGAACGCUGGCGGCGUGCCUAACACAUGCAAGUCGAGCGGAGAUGUACUGAAGAUUUAUCGGAUGUACAUCUUAGCGGCGGACGGGUGAGUAACGCGUGGGCAACCUGCCUUUCACUGGGGGAUAACACAGGGAAACCUGUGCUAAUACCGCAUGACAUCACGUAGGGCAUCCUAUGUGAUCAAAGGAGAGAUCCGGUGGAAGAUGGGCCCGCGUCCAAUUAGCUGGUUGGUGAGGUAAAGGCUCACCAAGGCGACGAUUGGUAGCCGAACUGAGAGGUUGAUCGGCCACAUUGGGACUGAGACACGGCCCAGACUCCUACGGGAGGCAGCAGUGGGGAAUAUUGCACAAUGGGGGAAACCCUGAUGCAGCGACGCCGCGUGCGGGAUGACGGCCUCGGUUGUAACCGCUUCUAGCAGGGACGAAACGAGACGGUACCUGCAGAAGAAGACGCCGGCGUAACUACGUGCCAGCAGCCGCGGUAACAC
This 489-nucleotide ribosomal RNA is filed under the name uncultured bacterium. RNAcentral's name for it is "bacterial SSU rRNA". It matches the Rfam family "Bacterial small subunit ribosomal RNA", at positions 28 to 526 of the family's 1533-position model. The record is from RNAcentral.